UCAAUGCUAAAUGCAGACUUCCCGAAAGUUGAAAAAAACUGUCAGACAUUCGGUCUGACAAACCAUGAAAAUCUGUCGGACCGAAACAAAAUCUGUCAGACCAAAUAAAAUUGAUCAAAAUCAAAGAAAAACUUGUGUUUGUAUUUCUAAGACACUUUUUGUUUUUUAUUUUUUCGCCGUAAAAAUCGGCACAAUCCGUACAGCGCAUUUUCAUCUCCUUCCUGUCAUACACCAAUGAUUCAUGGUUCUGCUUCCAUUUUUAUAUGCCCGAAAGGGCAUAUUAUGUUAUACCCCCUGGCGUCCGUCCGUCUGUUAGCAAUUUGGUUUCCGGAGCAUAACUUAAGUUCCAUUUGACCCACAAUGUUCAAACUUCAUAGAAUGAUUUUCCAUAUUGGGUAGAAGAUCCCUAUUGAUUUAGGGGUCAAAAGGUCAAAGGUCAAGGUCACUAUUACCUUGAUACUGAAAACAGUUUCUGUCCGUUAGCAAUUUGUCCGUUAGCAAUUUGGUUUCUGGAGCAUAACUUAAGUUCCAUUUGGCCCACAAUGUUCAAACUUCAUAGGAUGAUUGUCCAUAUUGGGUAGAAGACCCCUAUUGAUUUUGGGGUCAAAAGGUCAAGGUCACUAUAACCUUGAUACUGAAAACAGUUUCCGUCCGUUAGCAAUUUGGUUUCCGGAGCAUAACUUAAGUUCCAUUUGGCCCACAAUGUUCAAACUUCAUAGGAUGAUUGUCCAUAUUGGGUAGAAGACCCCUAUUGAUUUUGGGGUCAAAAGGUCAAAGGUCAAGGUCACUAUUACCUUAAAACUGUAAACAGUUUCCGGAGCAUAACUUAAGUUCCAUUUGACCGACAAUGUUCAAACUUCAUAGGAUGAUUGUCCAUAUUGGGUAGAAGACCCCUAUUGAUUUUGGGGUCAAAGGUCAAGGUCACUAUUACCUUGAUACUGAAAACAGUUGCCGUCCGUUAGCAAUUUGUCCGUUAGCAAUUUGGUUUCCGGAGCAUAACUUAAGUUCCAUUUGGCCCACAAUGUUCAAACUUCAUAGGAUGAUUGUCCAUAUUGGGUAGAAGACCCCUAUUGAUUUUAGGGUCAAAAGGUCAAAGGUCAAGGUCACUAUUACCUUAAAACUGAAAACAGUUUCCGGAUGAUAGCUUAAGUUCCAUUUGACCCACAAUGUUCAAACUUCAUAGGAUGAUUGUCCAUAUUGGGUAGAAGACCCCUAUUGAUUUUGGGGUCAAAAGGUCAAAGGUCAAGGUCACUAUUACCUUGAUACUGAAAACAGUUUCCGUCCGUUAGCAAUUUGUCCGUUAGCAAUUUGGUUUCCGGAGCAUAACUUAAGUUCCAUUUGGCCCACAAUGUUCAAACUUCAUAGGAUGAUUGUCCAUAUUGGGUAGAAGACCCCUAUUGAUUUUGGGGUCAAAAGGUCAAAGGUCAAGGUCACUAUCACCUUAAAAUUGAAAACAGUUUCCGGAGCAUAACUUAAGUUCCAUUUGGCCAACAAUAUUCAAACUCCUUAGGAUGAUUGUCCAUAUAAGGUAGAAGACCCCUAUUGAUUUUAGGGUCACAAGGUCAAAGGUUAAGGUCAUUAUUAAUAACUUAAGUAUUAAUCAACCUACAUCUGUAAAAUUUUAUAGGAUGAACAGCUAAUUCCCAUGUCUUACAAAUGCUUCAUCCUUACUAAAAAAAACACACUUUCGGGCAUAUUAUGCUCCGCCUAGCGGUGCUCUUGUUCAUUAAAUUUCGUCUUGGGUCUAUUCUUUUCAUCCUUUUAUUGCUGUUCUGCGCACUCUUCUGACGUAGAUUUUCGGUUUUUCCCCAGGUUUGGCACCUUUAGCGACGCCAUUUUGUAUACAUGCGGCUUGGAUAAAAGCCGGACAGUCGGACCGAUCCGGAAUAAAAAAUUGUCGGACCUGAUCAAAAUUUAUCGGACAUGUCCGUCGGACCGACGUAUUUCGGGAAGUCUGUAAAUGAUGAUUGGGUUUUCAGACUUCUAUGGUAAAAUUUUCACUCGCCGUACUGAUGGCAUUGUUUUAAAUGAAAGUGUUUUAAAUCUUCUACAGAUGAAUACUGCAAUACUAUUGGUUUUGGCUGCUGUUCAGUAAACAUGUUUUGUGUCACAUAUUAAUAUUAGAUCAAUGCUAAAUGAUGAUUGGGUUUUCAGACUUCUAUGGUGAAAUUUUCACUCGCCGUACUGAUGGCAUUGUUUUUAAAUGAAAGUGUUUUAAAUCUUCUACAGAUGAAUAUUGCAUUACUAUUGGUUUUGGCUGCUGUUCAGUAAACAUGUUUUGUGUCACAUAUUAAUAUUAGAUCAAUGCUAAAUGAUGAUUGGGUUUUCAGACUUCUAUGGUGAAAUUUUCACUCGCCGUACUGAUGGCAUUGUUUUUAAAUGAAAGUGUUUUAAAUCUUCUACAGAUGAAUAUUGCAUUACUAUUGGUUUUGGCUGCUGUUCAGUAAACAUGUUUUGUGUCACAUAUUAAUAUUAGAUCAAUGCUAAAUGAUGAUUGGGUUUUCAGACUUCUAUGGUGAAAUUUUCACUCGCCGUACUGAUGGCAUUGU
This is a long non-coding RNA of Ruditapes philippinarum (Manila clam), 2549 nucleotides long. RefSeq lists it as uncharacterized. Lineage: Eukaryota; Metazoa; Mollusca; Bivalvia; Venerida; Veneridae. The transcript has 2 exons. The record is from RefSeq and is a predicted model, not a curated record.